This 73-nucleotide transfer RNA is filed under the name Megalops atlanticus (tarpon). It matches the Rfam family "tRNA". From Rfam's summary of the family: Transfer RNA (tRNA) molecules are approximately 80 nucleotides in length. The record is from Rfam by way of RNAcentral. Lineage: Eukaryota; Metazoa; Chordata; Actinopteri; Elopiformes; Megalopidae.
GGCCGGUUAGCUCAGUAGGUUAGAGUGUGGUGCUAAUAACGCCAAGGUCGUGGGUUCGAUCCUGUACGGGCCA